Molecule: ribosomal RNA, 423 nt
Filed under: uncultured bacterium
Lineage: Bacteria
Description: bacterial SSU rRNA
Rfam family: Bacterial small subunit ribosomal RNA
Source: RNAcentral
GGAAUAUUGCACAAUGGGCGCAAGCCUGAUGCAGCCAUGCCGCGUGUGUGAAGAAGGCCCUAGGGUUGUAAAGCACUUUAAGCAGGGAGGAAGGUUAUACGGUUAAUACCCGUGUAAAUUGACGUUACCUGCAGAAUAAGCACCGGCUAACUCCGUGCCAGCCGCCGCGGUAAUACGGAGGGUGCAAGCGUUAAUCGGAAUUACUGGGCGUAAAGCGCGCGUAGGUGGUUAGUUAAGCGAGAUGUGAAAGCCCCGGGCUUAACCUGGGAAUUGCAUUUCGAACUGGCUGACUAGAGUGUAGAAGAGGGGUGUGGAAUUUCCGGUGUAGCGGUGAAAUGCGUAGAGAUCGGAAGGAACAUCAGUGGCGAAGGCGACACCCUGGUCUAACACUGACGCUGAGGUGCGAAAGCGUGGGUAGCAAAC